GACGAACGCUGGCGGCGUGCUUAACACAUGCAAGUCGAACGGAAAGGCCCUGCUUUUGUGGGGUGCUCGAGUGGCGAACGGGUGAGUAACACGUGAGUAACCUGCCCUUGACUUUGGGAUAACUUCAGGAAACUGGGGCUAAUACCGGAUAGGAGCUCCUGCUGCAUGGUGGGGGUUGGAAAGUUUCGGCGGUUGGGGAUGGACUCGCGGCUUAUCAGCUUGUUGGUGGGGUAGUGGCUUACCAAGGCUUUGACGGGUAGCCGGCCUGAGAGGGUGACCGGACACCUGGCAGGGCGGCUGCGUGCACGAGCCGGGAGGGAGGCAGGAGGGGGGACGAGAGAAGAGGGGCGGGACGGCGAGGGCGGCGGCGCGGUGGGGGGGGGGGCGGCGUUCGGGGUGACGACCGCGUUGUCUGGGGGGUAGGUGGGGGUGACGAUAGUGGGAAAAGAAGGACUGGCGAACUACGCGGCAGCGGCCGGGGUACAAGAGGAAGAGCACACGUUUGAAC
This 508-nucleotide ribosomal RNA is filed under the name uncultured bacterium. Its description in RNAcentral is "partial 16S ribosomal RNA". The stretch from base 20 to 329 matches the Rfam family "Bacterial small subunit ribosomal RNA", at positions 47 to 358 of the family's 1533-position model. The record is from RNAcentral.